AGUGGGUACGGGCAGACUAGAGUGCAGUAGGGGAGACUGGAAUUCCUGGUGUAGCGGUGAAAUGCGCAGAUAUCAGGAGGAACACCGAUGGCGAAGGCAGGUCUCUGGGCUGUUACUGACGCUGAGGAGCGAAAGCAUGGGGAGCGAACAGGAUUAGAUACCCUGGUAGUCCAUGCCGUAAACGUUGGGCACUAGGUGUGGGGGACAUUCCACGUUUUCCGCGCCGUAGCUAACGCAUUAAGUGCCCCGCCUGGGGAGUACGGCCGCAAGGCUAAAACUCAAAGGAAUUGACGGGGGCCCGCACAAGCGGCGGAGCAUGCGGAUUAAUUCGAUGCAACGCGAAGAACCUUACCAAGGCUUGACAUUCACCGGACCGCCCCAGAGAUGGGGUUUCCCUUCGGGGCUGGUGGACAGGUGGUGCAUGGUUGUCGUCAGCUCGUGUCGUGAGAUGUUGGGUUAAGUCCCGCAACGAGCGCAACCCUCGUUCUAUGUUGCCAGCACGUGAUGGUGGGGACUCAUAGGAGACUGCCGGGGUCAACUCGGAGGAAGGUGGGGAUGACGUCAAAUCAUCAUGCCCCUUAUGUCUUGGGCUUCACGCAUGCUACAAUGGCCGGUACAAAGGGUUGCGAUACUGUGAGGUGGAGCUAAUCCCAAAAAGCCGGUCUCAGUUCGGAUUGAGGUCUGCAACUCGACCUCAUGAAGUCGGAGUCGCUAGUAAUCGCAGAUCAGCAACGCUGCGGUGAAUACGUUCCCGGGCCUUGUACACACCGCCCGUCAAGUCACGAAAGUUGGUAACACCCGAAGCCGGUGGCCUAACCCCUUGUGGGAGG
RNAcentral lists this ribosomal RNA (830 nucleotides) under Kocuria sp. RY14. Its description in RNAcentral is "bacterial SSU rRNA". It matches the Rfam family "Bacterial small subunit ribosomal RNA", at positions 625 to 1450 of the family's 1533-position model. The record is from RNAcentral. Lineage: Bacteria; Bacillati; Actinomycetota; Actinomycetes; Micrococcales; Micrococcaceae.